RNAcentral lists this ribosomal RNA (255 nucleotides) under uncultured bacterium. Its description in RNAcentral is "partial 16S ribosomal RNA". It matches the Rfam family "Bacterial small subunit ribosomal RNA", at positions 524 to 777 of the family's 1533-position model. The record is from RNAcentral.
UACGGGGGGGGCAAGCGUUGUUCGGAAUUACUGGGCGUAAAGGCUCGUAGGUGGCCAACUAAGUCAGACGUGAAAUCCCUCGGCUUAACCGGGGAACUGCGUCUGAUACUGGAUGGCUUGAGUUUGGGAGAGGGACGCGGAAUUCCAGGUGUAGCGGUGAAAAUGCGUAGAUAUCUGGAGGAACACCGGUGGCGAAGGCGGCGUCCUGGACCAACACUGACACUGAUGAGCGAAAAGCCAGGGGAGCAAAACGGG